RNAcentral lists this ribosomal RNA (429 nucleotides) under Gemmatimonadota bacterium. Its description in RNAcentral is "Gemmatimonadetes bacterium partial 16S ribosomal RNA". It matches the Rfam family "Bacterial small subunit ribosomal RNA", at positions 355 to 776 of the family's 1533-position model. Lineage: Bacteria; Pseudomonadati; Gemmatimonadota. The record is from RNAcentral.
UAGGGAAUCUUCGGCAAUGGACGAAAGUCUGACCGAGCAACGCCGCGUGAGUGAAGAAGGUUUUCGGAUCGUAAAACUCUGUUGUUAGAGAAGAACAAGGACAUUAGUAACUGAACGUCCCCUGACGGUAUCUAACCAGAAAGCCACGGCUAACUACGUGCCAGCAGCCGCGGUAAUACGUAGGUGGCAAGUGUUGUCCGGAUUUAUUGGGCGUAAAGCGAGCGCAGGCGGUUUCUUAAGUCUGAUGUGAAAGCCCCCGGCUCAACCGGGGAGGGUCAUUGGAAACUGGGAGACUUGAGUGCAGAAGAGGAGAGUGGAAUUCCAUGUGUAGCGGUGAAAUGCGUAGAUAUAUGGAGGAACACCAGUGGCGAAGGCGGCUCUCUGGUCUGUAACUGACGCUGAGGCUCGAAAGCGUGGGGAGCAAACAGG